Molecule: ribosomal RNA, 458 nt
Filed under: uncultured Streptococcus sp.
Lineage: Bacteria; Bacillati; Bacillota; Bacilli; Lactobacillales; Streptococcaceae
Description: bacterial SSU rRNA
Rfam family: Bacterial small subunit ribosomal RNA
Source: RNAcentral
CCCGCGACAAGCGGUGAGCAUGUGGUUAAUUCGAAGCAACGCGAAGAACCUUACCAGGUCUUGACAUCCCGAUGCUAUUUCUAGAGGUAGAAAGUUACUUCGGUACAUCGGUGACAGGUGGUGCAUGGUUGUCGUCAGCUCGUGUCGUGAGAUGUUGGGUUAAGUCCCGCAACGAGCGCAACCCCUAUUGUUAGUUGCCAUCAUUCAGUUGGGCACUCUAGCGAGACUGCCGGUAAUAAACCGGAGGAAGUGGGAUGACGUCAAAUCAUCAUGCCCCUUAUGACCUGGGCUACACACGUGCUACAAUGGUCGGUACAACGAGUUGCGAGUCGGUGACGGCGAGCUAAUCUCUUAAAGCCAAUCUCAGUUCGGAUUGUAGGCUGCAACUCGCCUACAUGAAGUCGGAAUCGCUAGUAAUCGCGGAUCAGCACGCCGCGGUGAAUACGUUCCCGGGCCUU